This 232-nucleotide unclassified non-coding RNA is filed under the name uncultured fungus. Its description in RNAcentral is "sequence contains ITS1, 5.8S rRNA gene". The stretch from base 184 to 232 matches the Rfam family "5.8S ribosomal RNA", at positions 1 to 49 of the family's 154-position model. Lineage: Eukaryota; Fungi. The record is from RNAcentral.
UCUCCGUAGGUGAACCUGCGGAGGGAUCAUUACCGAGUACGGGUGCUCACGCGCCCCGACCUCCAACCCUUUUGUGAACCACCUCGUUGCUUCGGGGGCGACCCUGCCGUUCGCGGCGUGGGGCCCCCGGAGCCCAUCAAACCCUGCGUAACUAAGUCGUCGGAGUUUAAACAAAUUAAACAAAACUUUCAACAACGGAUCUCUUGGUUCGGGCAUCGAUGAAGAACGCAGC